This 75-nucleotide transfer RNA is filed under the name Mycobacterium phage GuuelaD. RNAcentral describes it as "tRNA-Asn". It matches the Rfam family "tRNA". From Rfam's summary of the family: Transfer RNA (tRNA) molecules are approximately 80 nucleotides in length. Their secondary structure includes four short double-helical elements and three loops (D, anti-codon, and T loops). The record is from RNAcentral. Lineage: Duplodnaviria; Heunggongvirae; Uroviricota; Caudoviricetes; Vilmaviridae.
UUCCUCCGUAGCUCAAUUGGCAGAGCGCGCGACUGUUAAUCGCGUGGUUGGUGGUUCGAGUCCACCCGUUGGAGC